GAUGAACGCUGGCGGCGUGCCUAAUACAUGCAAGUAGAACGCUGAAGGCGGAGCUUGCUCUUCUGGAUGAGUUGCGAACGGGUGAGUAACGCGUAGGUAACCUGCCUGGUAGCGGGGGAUAACUAUUGGAAACGAUAGCUAAUACCGCAUGACAACAGUUAUUGCAUGAUAACUGUUUAAAAGGGGCAACUGCUCCACUACCAGAUGGACCUGCGUUGUAUUAGCUAGUCGGUGAGGUAACGGCUCACCAAGGCGACGAUACAUAGCCGACCUGAGAGGGUGAUCGGCCACGCUGGGACGGAGACACGGCCCAGACUCCUACGGGAGGCAGCAGUAGGGAAUCUUCGGCAAUGGACGGAAGUCUGACCGAGCAACGCCGCGUGAGGGAAGAAGGUUUUCGGAUCGUAAAGCUCUGUUGUAAGAGAAGAACGAGUGUGAGAGUGGAAAGGUCACACUGUGACGGUAUCUUACCAGAAAGGGACGGCUAACUACGUG
RNAcentral lists this ribosomal RNA (495 nucleotides) under uncultured bacterium. RNAcentral describes it as "partial 16S ribosomal RNA". It matches the Rfam family "Bacterial small subunit ribosomal RNA", at positions 28 to 507 of the family's 1533-position model. The record is from RNAcentral.